CCCCAGACUCCUACGGGAGGCAGCAGUGGGGAAUAUUGCACAAUGGGCGAAAGCCUGAUGCAGCAACGCCGCGUGAAGGAAGACGGUUUUCGGAUUGUAAACUUCUGUUCUUAGUGAAGAAUAAUGACGGUAACUAAGGAGCAAGCCACGGCUAACUACGUGCCAGCAGCCGCGGUAAUACGUAGGUGGCAAGCGUUGUCCGGAAUUACUGGGUGUAAAGGGAGCGUAGGCGGGAAGCCAAGUCAGCUGUGAAAACUACGGGCUUAACCUGUAGACUGCAGUUGAAACUGUAGUUCUUGAGUACUGGAGAGGCAGACGGAAUUCCUAGUGUAGCGGUGAAAUGCGUAGAUAUUAGGAGGAACACCAGUGGCGAAGGCGGUCUGCCGGACAGCAACUGACGCUGAGGCGCGAAAGCGUGGGGAGCAAACAGGAUUAGAUACCCCAGUAAG
RNAcentral lists this ribosomal RNA (449 nucleotides) under uncultured bacterium. Its description in RNAcentral is "bacterial SSU rRNA". It matches the Rfam family "Bacterial small subunit ribosomal RNA", at positions 329 to 793 of the family's 1533-position model. The record is from RNAcentral.